RNAcentral lists this ribosomal RNA (468 nucleotides) under uncultured bacterium. RNAcentral describes it as "partial 16S ribosomal RNA". It matches the Rfam family "Bacterial small subunit ribosomal RNA", at positions 28 to 507 of the family's 1533-position model. The record is from RNAcentral.
GACGAACGCUGGCGGCGUGCUUAACACAUGCAAGUCGAACGGUAAAGCCCUUCUUUUGUUGGGUGCUCGAGUUGCGAGGGGAUGAGUAACAUGUCAGUAACCUACCCUUCACUCUUCUUUAACUUCACGAAACUGAGGCUUAUCCCGUAUAGGAGCUUCUGCUGCUUGGUGGUGGUGGGAAUGUUGCGGGGGUUGGUUCGGGACUCGCGGCUUUUCAGCGUGUUGGUGGGGUAGUGGCGUACCAGGGCUAUGAAGGGUAGACGGCCUGAGAGGGUGACCGGCCACAUUGGGACUGAGAUACGGCGCAGACGCCUAGGGGAGGCAGCAGUGGGGAAUAUUGCACAACGGGCGGAAGGCGGGAGCAGUGACGCCGUGUGCGGGAUGAAGGCCUUCGGGUUGUGAAGCGCGUUCGCCUGUGACGAAGCGUGAGUGACGGUAAUGGGUAAAGAAGCACCGGCUAACUACGUG